UCCAGCUGUCUGGCUCGGGGCGCGGCGGCCCCCGGCAGGCGGGUCUGGCCCCAGCCCAGCUGCCCGGGGGUCUCCUGCCUUCUCGUUCAGGCGUCUCUGUCUGGGACUCGCCACGUCCUAGCAGCAGGAAUCAAUUGACGGUCAGCGGGGCCUCCCUACGCUAUCUCCGUAACGCCCCUCCGGCACGCGCCCCGACCUGCCUUAAACCGUUUGGGGAAUAGCGACCAGCUCUAUAGGAACAGCGCAACCCGUCCCACCGGUAUCUGCGUAACUUCCGAUUUACCCUAGACUGGCUCCGGUCGCGCAGCCAGAAUACAGCAGUAGCCGCGGAGUACGGCAACCAGCUUGCAUGUACCAACAGAGGAAUAGAGAGAGGGGGAACACGAAUGUACCACUAGGGAGAGGGGUAUAAGACUGCAUCCUUUGGAGAUGAGGGAUAGUCCAGGAGGUGCACGUAGAUCAGGGCUCUCGUAGCAGUCUGUUCCUGUGCCCCCAGGGCUGGAUUUAGGGGCAGGUGACCACCUGGGGUGCCACGUUUGGGGAGAGCGGGGGGUGCCAGGCUCUGAUUGCUGUGCCAGUCAAGGAGCUAUAAGAAUGAAGUGAUGUGAGACGACUCAAGCCCAGCUGCGGUAUUGUGAACCUUGUGUAAUUGUGAAAGUGUACUUGCAUUUUAAGAUUUGAAGAGUAUAAGUAGCGACUAAUAAAGGACAUAUUUAAUGAGAUGCCAGAGAUAGCUACUGAACCACUAUCUACGCUGUGCUUCAAUUCGGGAGGACAAAGCAUCUGGUCUUCAGAGCCGAUCAGUUGCUGGUAUGCAUGUGCCCUCAGUGAUAAGUAUACAUUGUGUGGAGGCAUCAGCAUCAAAGGAGUUCAUAUAAGAUGGGGAGGGUCCUCCAAUUCAACCAAUUGUACCCUGCUAUAACAAAUACCACACAGGCAGCUUUCAAACCAUGUUCUGCGGGAACGACCUCUAGGGAUAACUGGAGUUCAGUCUCUAUGGUCCAUUCCAUCACUGGACUCUAUGGCCCAUUCCAUCACUGGACUCUAAUGAUACUACCAGUUAGAGAUAACUGAACAAUUAGUUUUAUGAUAUUGACUCCUGCCUGCAAAAAUACAAAACAAAAACAAAACUACAACACACUUGCCCUGCAAAGUCAUUUCACUUAAGGAGCCAAAGAGGCAUCAAUUGGUAAUUACUUCUAGCCAGUACAGAGCUGAGAUUGAUUCAAACUGCCAAAUGAGAGGUGAAACAGUCAGUUUAGAAGUGAAAGUCUGUUCCUUAUUCCCAAUCCUUUGAGCCAUCUGGCUUCCCAUGUAUUUUUGUAUUGGGGUGGGGGUGUAUAAAUGGGGGUUGGAUUAAUAAAGAGCUGUGGCUCAGGCCCAAGAAGAGAUAAAACGUUAAUAAAAACCUUGUUUACUUCUACAAACAUUACAAAGUUGGGGUUCAACAUUGUGUGAUAUGUUAGCAAUAGCUUACCCCUAUUGUAACAACCACCAUUAGUAACUUUUUCUUAAACAUGUAGAAAGAAGGGGGUGGGGGGAGAGUUAAUGCAUGUGAAACUUAAAAAGUGAAAU
Molecule: long non-coding RNA, 1575 nt
Organism: Trachemys scripta elegans
Lineage: Eukaryota; Metazoa; Chordata; Testudines; Emydidae
Exons: 3
Source: RefSeq, a predicted model, not a curated record